GCCCGUUGACUUGACUGAAACAGUACAGGUAUGCGUGUAUAUUACGAUUUAUUCGGCGAUAGGUAUUAUAGAUAUUAUAACCCGCCGUAUACACGCCGUCGUGGUGGCUACGACAGCGCGUGACGUACAGUCGGUAUCGAUUGUUUCCGAUCUAUCAAGUAGGUCCGACAACGUUCAGCGGUCAGUUACGUAUGCACGAACGGGUAUGCUCUUAAGUUGGACAUAGUAUAGGUGGAUGGAGAAAAUUGACAUACAGAAGAUACUAAAUUGUUAGCAUUAAUUGUUAACAAAUGACACAUACACCACUUGGAUAUGGCAACCGGGCGGUUGUGAAGGCCAGAUACAGAAAGGAUGGACACCUAUUGUAGUGGCCACACUGGAACUUAAUAGAUUACAAACAGAAAUAGUAAGUACUCAAGUUGGACAAGGGGACAGUGUUUUAAUCAUCGCUAAAAUCCCAAAACUACCCGGACAUGGGUGAUGAGUCAUAUAUAAAAAAAUUCCAAGAUUAUCUCAUAAAUGACUGCCGAAAAUACAUGGAGAAUUUAAAACGAAUAUUGGAAGGUAUGAUCAUUAAAUUGGAAGAAACCUGGUUUAGCAUUGAAUUAUUUAACUAUGGUGAGGAGAUAAUUUUUAAUGAUGCAUAUAUGUUAGGUGUCAUUAAAAAGAUCGGAAAGAUGUUUCAAGAUGUCAGUGAUGCGCUUAUCCAUCUAUUUCAAAUAGUAUUUCAUCCAUAAGUACUACCAUGCACUCAUCCACUUUAAAAGUAUUUUCCAUUUAAUCAAUGAUAGAAAUCAUGUUAUUAUUACUAAAAAGAGAAUACACAUUCAGCUUUAACUUAGGAGAUAAUAUCCGCUAUAUGAUGAUCAAACACCACCAAUCUAUUGGAUAGUAGUUUCUUUCCUAUUAUGAUUACCGAGUAAUUUUGGAGGAUGAGUCUAUUAGAGUUUUAGUUAGUUUUAUCAGAGUAUAAGUUAACAUACUUAAAGAGAUAUUAGAGAUUGCGUCGAAUGAUCGGGCAAAAAAUACCGGGCACUGAUAUACAAAAACUUUUAUCAUAUAAUAAGCAGAGCUCUGAUAAGUUGGUAAAUUAUUUAAUCAACCCCAAGCCUUGUAUUCCGAGGGUCUAUCAUGAGUUAGAAAGAAAUUCUCCGGACGGAGCCAAAUUAAACUUCCUUUUAACAUACAUAGACAUGCGAACCAUGAAGGUCAUAGAUUAUUCACAGACAUCUAAUUAAAUUCACUGAAGUUGUCUAAUUUAAAACAAAUCGAAAUUCUCGUGGUAUUGUAUCAAAGGAUAAAUAAUGGAAAUUUUGCUUGAAAAGAUCAACUCAACUUCAAUAGUUUUUUUAUUUAAACGGAGGUUCAGGCAAGAUCAAUUCUUGAAUGGCGCUAUUAUAAGUCGUAUACAAUAAGACGUUGUGGAAUGCGAUUUGAAAUUUCCUAUUUUUUAACUUCACACGACUGACAAGCGUGUGAAAAUUCAUACGCCUUCUUAAGUGUGGAUCUAACCACACCGCCGGUAGCUUAUCUCAUACGACGAUG
Cinara cedri is the source of this 1545-nucleotide non-coding RNA. The record is from the annotation of a GenBank genome assembly. NCBI's taxonomy places the organism in Eukaryota, Metazoa, Arthropoda, Insecta, Hemiptera, Aphididae.